UACGUAGGGGGCAAGCGUUGUCCGGAUUUAUUGGGCGUAAAGAGCGUGUAGGCGGCCAGGUAGGUCCGUUGUGAAAACUCGAGGCUCAACCUCGAGACGCCGAUGGAAACCAUCUGGCUAGAGUCCGGAAGAGGAGAGUGGAAUUCCCGGUGUAGCGGUAAAAUGCGCAGAUAUCGGGAAGAACACCCGUGGCUAAGGCGGCUCUCUAGUACGGUACUGACGCUGAGACGCGAAAGCGUGGGGAGCGAACAGG
This 253-nucleotide ribosomal RNA is filed under the name uncultured bacterium. Its description in RNAcentral is "partial 16S ribosomal RNA". It matches the Rfam family "Bacterial small subunit ribosomal RNA", at positions 524 to 776 of the family's 1533-position model. The record is from RNAcentral.